CCGUUAGCUUGCAGUUAAAAACUGUUUGGCAGCUUCGCUGGGGAAUGUAAAUAAUUUUUAUAUUCAAGUUGCAUUUAUAUUUUAAAAAAUAUACACACAUCACCCGCGAUGCUGAACUGGGAAGAGCCUGCUGGAGUAGGUUUGCCUUUUGGCUGUCCUUAAUUGGACCAUGUAUGGUAAUUAGGGCUUCCUUAAGCAAUAUUUACCGAUAGAGACUUUCGCAAGGGAGCAAGCAAAGAGAGCCUGGUGCAUCUUGGUUUUCACUGAACCAUUGGCAGCAGCAGCAGAGAGAAACAUUAACCCGCCGGGGUCGGGCCGCCAGCUCCCUGGCUUGCUGUAGGGCUAAUCUAAUGGAGGGUCAUCCAGGAAUUGGGCUGUUCAUCAUUUUGUCCCCAGGCAGAGACAGAUCCAGUACAGGACAACCAAGACAUGCCCCAGAUGCUGAUAUCCUACAAGGGGACCCAAAGGAUACAUGGGGCUCAGAAGAAAUAUCCAGGACUGAUGUGAGCAAGGGCUUUUCAUGAAGCCACCAAAGCCAGCCAUUGCUUAAGGUUGAGCAUCCAACUUGGAGCUGUCAUUCUUGGAAGGAAACCAAGCCACUGGGGUGAGUUUCUAGGAAUUUAGGCCAUAUCUGCUCCCUCCUACUUCUCUCUUCCCCCAAAGG
This 664-nucleotide long non-coding RNA is filed under the name Phascolarctos cinereus (koala). RNAcentral describes it as "lncRNA (ENSPCIG00000036083.1)". The record is from RNAcentral. Lineage: Eukaryota; Metazoa; Chordata; Mammalia; Diprotodontia; Phascolarctidae.